CCUACGGGUGGCAGCAGUAGGGAAUGUUCGUCAAUGGGCGCAAGCCUGAACGAGCAAUGCCGCGUGAAAGAGGAAGGUCUUCGGAUCGUAAAGUUCUGUUGAAGGGGAAAAAGAGCGGAGAGAGGAAAUGCUUUCGGAUUGAUAUUACCCUUCGAGGAAGUCACGGCUAACUACGUGCCAGCAGCCGCGGUAAUACGUAGGUGGCGAGCGUUAUCCGGAAUGAUUGGGCGUAAAGGGUGCGUCGGCGGCCUGCUAAGUCUGGAGUGAAAGGUACCGGCUCAACCGGUACAGGCUCGGGAAACUGGCGUGCUAGAGCGCAGGAGAGGUCGGUGGCACUCCCUGUGUAGCGGU
RNAcentral lists this ribosomal RNA (351 nucleotides) under uncultured bacterium. RNAcentral's name for it is "partial 16S ribosomal RNA". It matches the Rfam family "Bacterial small subunit ribosomal RNA", at positions 338 to 682 of the family's 1533-position model. The record is from RNAcentral.